ACAGCUCAACCUCGGAAAGGACUUAUUUUUACUGAACCAUUACACAGCUGGUGUGAUACUGUUUGGAAAAGGAGAAAGCGUUAGACAGCACAGUUUGCGGAGGACUGACUUCAACAACUAUGAAGCCAUACUUUCUUUUGUAAAUGUUGGUGGAGUACACUGGAAGUUACUGAAACAACCAGUAUACAUAGAACAACCAACAAAUCCCUGAGAAAUUUUGAAAGAAGACAUCUUUGGGAUUACAUGAGGAUGCGCAUGAUUGUCCAUGGCAAGAACGACUGGGGAAGAGUCAGAUGGAGAGGAGGAGUCAUGGACCAUCCUGUGCAACGUGACAAGUGUAGUUGCGGGGUCAUCGUCACCAUGUGUUAGAUCUGGACAACCACUGUGUGAUGUGCUCUGCCUCAAAGCCCCCUGGACCAGGGCCUCCAGCUGGUGGGUGAGUUUUUGUGACUGUUUCUUGUACAUUUAUCAAUUGGGGUUUAUUGUAUAGUUAUAGAAGAAUUUUCUUGGAAUUUUCUAAACUUAGCACCAAGCCACCAAAACCAAUGUCAAGGGCUACCUUACUUCCCAAGAUACAUAAAAACUAUAAAUGAAAAAGAUACUAAAUGUUGACACUAUGACUAAAAUAAUGGAUUAAAAGUGUAACUGUGCCCUUCCACUGUAAUAUUUGGUGUCCAGAACUGUAGUCUAUUGUCCUCUACACAGAUAGAGACCCUAGAUUUUGAAAACAAAAUGCUGUGGUAUACUGCAGUGCAAACCUGAUGAAGACAUAUCUUUCU
This is a long non-coding RNA of Acanthopagrus latus (yellowfin seabream), 779 nucleotides long. RefSeq lists it as uncharacterized. NCBI's taxonomy places the organism in Eukaryota, Metazoa, Chordata, Actinopteri, Spariformes, Sparidae. The transcript has 5 exons. The record is from RefSeq and is a predicted model, not a curated record.